This 420-nucleotide ribosomal RNA is filed under the name Haliotis discus hannai (Japanese disc abalone). RNAcentral describes it as "partial 16S rRNA". Lineage: Eukaryota; Metazoa; Mollusca; Gastropoda; Lepetellida; Haliotidae. The record is from RNAcentral.
GACACCUUAAUCCAACAUCGAGGUCGCAAACCCUUCUUUCAAUGUGAACUCUCCAGAAAGAUUACGCUGUUAUCCCUGUGGUAACUUUUUCCGAUAAUCAGCAAUGCUGGAUCACUUGUUAGUAAACCAAAAUUCUACAAAUUAACAGAGAAGCUUUUCAUGUUCCCUAGUCACCCCAACUAAAGAUGUAAGAAUAAAUUUAAAAUCCUCUAUUCUAAUAGAAACAACCCCUUUAUUCCACACUAAAGCUCAACAGGGUCUUCUCGUCCCUCAGCUAAAUAUAAGCCUUUUCACUUAGAAGUUAAUUUUUAAAUAUUCCAGGAGAGACAGCUCAGCCCUCGUCAAACCAUUCAUACCAGCCUCCAAUUAAAAGGCAAGUGAUUGUGCUACCUUUGCACGGUCAGUGUACCGCGGCCGUUU